Molecule: transfer RNA, 74 nt
Filed under: Pseudomonas syringae
Lineage: Bacteria; Pseudomonadati; Pseudomonadota; Gammaproteobacteria; Pseudomonadales; Pseudomonadaceae
Also listed under: 1 other name
Description: tRNA-Gly
Rfam family: tRNA
About the family: Transfer RNA (tRNA) molecules are approximately 80 nucleotides in length. Their secondary structure includes four short double-helical elements and three loops (D, anti-codon, and T loops).
Source: RNAcentral
GCGGGUGUAGUUUAGUGGCAAAACGAAAGCUUCCCAAGCUUUAGUUGAGGGUUCGAUUCCCUCCACCCGCUCCA